Molecule: long non-coding RNA, 399 nt
Organism: Hyla sarda
Lineage: Eukaryota; Metazoa; Chordata; Amphibia; Anura; Hylidae
Exons: 3
Source: RefSeq, a predicted model, not a curated record
AGGUAAAAAACAUUGAGAUUCUUGUACCAAAAUUGUAUUGGUAUUCCAAUGAAAAGGAAUGGGAUAUAUCAGUUGAAGAAAUGUCAUGCAGAGCAACUGGAACUCUUUCAGUCUUCUUUUCUACAGCUGCAUUUGGAAAUCUUGAUGACGUUUUGAAAGGCCGUUUAAUAAGGCUGAACCGUGUCCUGUAUUCCAUGUCAAGUCAGACCUGCAUUAUAUUGAACAAUUCCAAGUACAACUUUACCGAGGCACUGGAAGAUCUCUUGCAUUUUUUAAAAUAUAAAUUGAAAUAAACAAUUAAUAGAAAAUAUUAUCAAUUAUCUAAGAACACUACCUUAAAGGGGUACUCUGCCCCUAGACAUCUUAUCCCCUAUCCAAAGGUUAGGGGAUAAGAUGACU